This 435-nucleotide long non-coding RNA is filed under the name Carica papaya (papaya). RNAcentral describes it as "long non-coding RNA (CPAP_LNC006156)". The record is from RNAcentral. Lineage: Eukaryota; Viridiplantae; Streptophyta; Magnoliopsida; Brassicales; Caricaceae.
GUUGUAGGUGAUAGACCUCUCAGCUCGCUCAGGGGGGUUGGCAUUGGUUUGUUUGGUUUUAGCCUACGGCUACAAUUAGACCUUUGAUGGCUCAGAAGAGCUUGAUAAACUCGGCCUUGCUCAGAUGAUCUUUGGCCUCAGUCUCUUGGUUUGCUCUAUAGAAUUUCUUCAUCGCAUCACUCCUACAAAAGAAAAGGAAGACACAAGUUGGGGGGUCUAGUAUUUGAAAGAAGACAUAUCCUAAAUAUCUUAGAAGGGUUUCCUAACUAAAACCUCAGUUGUAAGGGGAUUAUUCUAUGUAAUUGCUCUGAUACCAUUUGUGACAUCCCAAAUGCUAAUUAAAGUAUAAGGGUGCUAGAUACAGAAACAUAUUACAAGUGCCUAGAGAUAAAAUGUAUGCAGCGAAAUAAAUAAUUACAAAAUAAUAAUAGAGUU